AGAUUAUGGCUCAGGAUGAACGCUGGCGGCGUGCCUAACACAUGCAAGUCGAACGAAGCACCUACCGUGAUCCUUCGGGUGAACGGUCUGUGACUGAGUGGCGGACGGGUGAGUAACGCGUGGGUAACCUGCCCUGUACAGGGGGAUAACAGCCAGAAAUGGCUGCUAAUACCGCAUAAGCGCAGGCCGUGGCAUCAUGGCUUGCGGAAAACUCCGGUGGUACAGGAUGGGCCCGCGUCUGAUUAGCUUGUUGGCGGGUAAAGGCCCACCAAGGCGACGAUCAGCAGCCGGUCUGAGAGGAUGAACGGCCACAUUGGAACUGAGACACGGUCCAAACUCCUACGGGAGGCAGCAGUGGGGGAUAUUGCACAAUGGGGGGAACCCUGAUGCAGCAACGCCCGCGUGAGUGAAGAAGUAUUUCGGUAUGUAAAGCUCUAUCAGCAGGGAAGAUGAUGACGGUACCUGACUAAGAAGCUCCGGCUAAAUACGUGCCAGCCGCAGC
This 502-nucleotide ribosomal RNA is filed under the name uncultured bacterium. Its description in RNAcentral is "bacterial SSU rRNA". It matches the Rfam family "Bacterial small subunit ribosomal RNA", at positions 14 to 518 of the family's 1533-position model. The record is from RNAcentral.